This 547-nucleotide ribosomal RNA is filed under the name Boophis doulioti. RNAcentral describes it as "partial 16S ribosomal RNA". It matches the Rfam family "Bacterial large subunit ribosomal RNA", at positions 1851 to 2610 of the family's 2925-position model. The record is from RNAcentral. Lineage: Eukaryota; Metazoa; Chordata; Amphibia; Anura; Mantellidae.
GGUCCAGCCUGCCCGGUGACAUAGUUUAACGGCCGCGGUACCCUAACCGUGCGAAGGUAGCAUAAUCACUUGUUCUUUAAAUGGGGACUCGUAUCAACGGCAUCACGAGGAUCACACUGUCUCCCGCCCCUAAUCAGUGAAACUGAUCUCCCCGUGAAGAAGCGGGGAUUUUUUUAUAAGACGAGAAGACCCCAUGGAGCUUUAAACCCGAUGACACCCCCGCCCUAUUUAGACCUACGCAUUCGUUGGGGGCCUGUUCACUCGGUUUUAGGUUGGGGUGACCGCGGAGUAAAACAAAACCUCCACGAAGAAUGGGCUUACCCCCUUAUCCAAGAGAGACAUCUCUAAGAAUUAGCAAACUAACAUCUAAUGAUCCGAUUUUUCGAUCAACGAACCAAGUUACCCUGGGGAUAACAGCGCAAUCCACUUCAAGAGCUCAUAUCGACAAGUGGGUUUACGACCUCGAUGUUGGAUCAGGGUAUCCCAGUGGUGCAGCAGCUACUAAUGGUUCGUUUGUUCAACGAUUAAAACCCUACGUGAUCUGAGU